GACGAACGCUGGCGGCGUGCUUAACACAUGCAAGUCGAACGAUGAUGCCCAGCUUGCUGGGUGGAUUAGUGGCGAACGGGUGAGUAACACGUGAGUAACCUGCCCCUGACUCUGGGAUAAGCGUUGGAAACGACGUCUAAUACUGGAUAUGACUGCCGGCCGCAUGGUCUGGUGGUGGAAAGAUUUUUUGGUUGGGGAUGGACUCGCGGCCUAUCAGCUUGUUGGUGAGGUAAUGGCUCACCAAGGCGACGACGGGUAGCCGGCCUGAGAGGGUGACCGGCCACACGGGGCCUGCGACACGGCCCAGACGCCUACGGGAGGCAGCAGUGGGGAAUAUUGCACAAUGGGCGAAAGCCUGAUGCAGCAACGCCGCGUGAGGGAUGACGGCCUUCGGGUUGUAAACCUUUUUUAGUAGGGAAGAAGCGUAAGUGACGGUACCUGCAGAAAAAGCACCGGCUAACUACGUGCCAGCAGCCGCCGUAA
This 483-nucleotide ribosomal RNA is filed under the name uncultured bacterium. RNAcentral's name for it is "partial 16S ribosomal RNA". It matches the Rfam family "Bacterial small subunit ribosomal RNA", at positions 28 to 523 of the family's 1533-position model. The record is from RNAcentral.